CCCGGGCCCGGGCCGCUGCAGCCCAAGGUCACCGCCAAGCCCGCCCUGGGUGUCCACCAGCAGCCGGGGGCGUGCAGAGCGCUGGCCAUCGGGACACCCACACCCACGCGCACCACGUGGCCGCCUGCGCUCCAGGGGACGCGGCUUGGAGGGUCAGUCCGCCCUUGGCAGCUCUGACAUCUUCUCCCAGUGUGGUGGUACUGCCUACCUGUCAUCCCAACACUGGAGGCAGAAGCAAGAGGGCCAGGGUUCGAGGUCAGCCUCAGCUACACAAUUUCUGGAAAAUGGAAGACCCAGCCUCAAGUGAACAGAGGGAAGAAAAGAGGAAAAGAUGAAAUAAGACAAACAGAAUAUUGUUCUUCUGGUUUGGGCCAGUGGGAAGGCCCAGAAGGUGAAGGUGUUUGCUGUGAAGCCUGAGGCCUGGGUUGGUUCCCCGGGACCCGAGUGGCAGACGGAGGAACUGACUCCAACAAAUUGUCCUCCGACCUCCACACAGAAACCGAUAAAUAA
Psammomys obesus (fat sand rat) is the source of this 510-nucleotide long non-coding RNA. RefSeq lists it as uncharacterized. The transcript has 3 exons. Lineage: Eukaryota; Metazoa; Chordata; Mammalia; Rodentia; Muridae. The record is from RefSeq and is a predicted model, not a curated record.